UGACUACGCGACGCCGCGUGGGUGAUGAAGGCCUUCGGGUUGUAAAGCCCUGUCACCUGGGAAGAAUGGCGGAGGGUGAAUAGCCACUUCGCUUGACGCUACCAGGAGAGGAAGCACCGGCUAAAUACGUGCCAGCAGCCGCGGUAAUACGUAUGGUGCGAACGUUGUUCGGAAUUACUGGGCAUAAAGAGCACGUAGGCGGUUGGGCAAGUCCAUUGUGAAAUCCCCACGGCUCAACCGGGGAACUGCAGUGGAUACUACUCGACUUGAGUGCAGGAGGGGAGAGUGGAAUUCCAGGUGGAGCGGUGAAAUGCGUAGAUAUCUGGAGGAACGCCGGUGGCGAAAGCGACUCUCUGGUCUGCAACUGACGCUGAGGUGCGAAAGCUAGGGGAGCAAACGGGAUUAGAUACCCCGGUAGUCCUAGCCCUAAACGAU
This 435-nucleotide ribosomal RNA is filed under the name uncultured bacterium. Its description in RNAcentral is "bacterial SSU rRNA". It matches the Rfam family "Bacterial small subunit ribosomal RNA", at positions 384 to 810 of the family's 1533-position model. The record is from RNAcentral.